RNAcentral lists this ribosomal RNA (2802 nucleotides) under Escherichia coli. Its description in RNAcentral is "partial 23S ribosomal RNA". It matches the Rfam family "Bacterial large subunit ribosomal RNA". Lineage: Bacteria; Pseudomonadati; Pseudomonadota; Gammaproteobacteria; Enterobacterales; Enterobacteriaceae. The record is from RNAcentral.
GGGUUGUGAGGUUAAGCGACUAAGCGUACACGGUGGAUGCCCUGGCAGUCAGAGGCGAUGAAGGACGUGCUAAUCUGCGAUAAGCGUCGGUAAGGUGAUAUGAACCGUUAUAACCGGCGAUUUCCGAAUGGGGAAACCCAGUGUGAUUCGUCACACUAUCAUUAACUGAAUCCAUAGGUUAAUGAGGCGAACCGGGGGAACUGAAACAUCUAAGUACCCCGAGGAAAAGAAAUCAACCGAGAUUCCCCCAGUAGCGGCGAGCGAACGGGGAGCAGCCCAGAGCCUGAAUCAGUGUGUGUGUUAGUGGAAGCGUCUGGAAAGGCGCGCGAUACAGGGUGACAGCCCCGUACACAAAAAUGCACAUGCUGUGAGCUCGAUGAGUAGGGCGGGACACGUGGUAUCCUGUCUGAAUAUGGGGGGACCAUCCUCCAAGGCUAAAUACUCCUGACUGACCGAUAGUGAACCAGUACCGUGAGGGAAAGGCGAAAAGAACCCCGGCGAGGGGAGUGAAAAAGAACCUGAAACCGUGUACGUACAAGCAGUGGGAGCACGCUUAGGCGUGUGACUGCGUACCUUUUGUAUAAUGGGUCAGCGACUUAUAUUCUGUAGCAAGGUUAACCGAAUAGGGGAGCCGAAGGGAAACCGAGUCUUAACUGGGCGUUAAGUUGCAGGGUAUAGACCCGAAACCCGGUGAUCUAGCCAUGGGCAGGUUGAAGGUUGGGUAACACUAACUGGAGGACCGAACCGACUAAUGUUGAAAAAUUAGCGGAUGACUUGUGGCUGGGGGUGAAAGGCCAAUCAAACCGGGAGAUAGCUGGUUCUCCCCGAAAGCUAUUUAGGUAGCGCCUCGUGAAUUCAUCUCCGGGGGUAGAGCACUGUUUCGGCAAGGGGGUCAUCCCGACUUACCAACCCGAUGCAAACUACGAAUACCGGAGAAUGUUAUCACGGGAGACACACGGCGGGUGCUAACGUCCGUCGUGAAGAGGGAAACAACCCAGACCGCCAGCUAAGGUCCCAAAGUCAUGGUUAAGUGGGAAACGAUGUGGGAAGGCCCAGACAGCCAGGAUGUUGGCUUAGAAGCAGCCAUCAUUUAAAGAAAGCGUAAUAGCUCACUGGUCGAGUCGGCCUGCGCGGAAGAUGUAACGGGGCUAAACCAUGCACCGAAGCUGCGGCAGCGACGCUGAUGCGUUGUUGGGUAGGGGAGCGUUCUGUAAGCCUGCGAAGGUGUGCUGUGAGGCAUGCUGGAGGUAUCAGAAGUGCGAAUGCUGACAUAAGUAACGAUAAAGCGGGUGAAAAGCCCGCUCGCCGGAAGACCAAGGGUUCCUGUCCAACGUUAAUCGGGGCAGGGUGAGUCGACCCCUAAGGCGAGGCCGAAAGGCGUAGUCGAUGGGAAACAGGUUAAUAUUCCUGUACUUGGUGUUACUGCGAAGGGGGGACGGAGAAGGCUAUGUUGGCCGGGCGACGGUUGUCCCGGUUUAAGCGUGUAGGCUGGUUUUCCAGGCAAAUCCGGAAAAUCAAGGCUGAGGCGUGAUGACGAGGCACUACGGUGCUGAAGCAACAAAUGCCCUGCUUCCAGGAAAAGCCUCUAAGCAUCAGGUAACAUCAAAUCGUACCCCAAACCGACACAGGUGGUCAGGUAGAGAAUACCAAGGCGCUUGAGAGAACUCGGGUGAAGGAACUAGGCAAAAUGGUGCCGUAACUUCGGGAGAAGGCACGCUGAUAUGUAGGUGAAGUCCCUCGCGGAUGGAGCUGAAAUCAGUCGAAGAUACCAGCUGGCUGCAACUGUUUAUUAAAAACACAGCACUGUGCAAACACGAAAGUGGACGUAUACGGUGUGACGCCUGCCCGGUGCCGGAAGGUUAAUUGAUGGGGUUAGCGCAAGCGAAGCUCUUGAUCGAAGCCCCGGUAAACGGCGGCCGUAACUAUAACGGUCCUAAGGUAGCGAAAUUCCUUGUCGGGUAAGUUCCGACCUGCACGAAUGGCGUAAUGAUGGCCAGGCUGUCUCCACCCGAGACUCAGUGAAAUUGAACUCGCUGUGAAGAUGCAGUGUACCCGCGGCAAGACGGAAAGACCCCGUGAACCUUUACUAUAGCUUGACACUGAACAUUGAGCCUUGAUGUGUAGGAUAGGUGGGAGGCUUUGAAGUGUGGACGCCAGUCUGCAUGGAGCCGACCUUGAAAUACCACCCUUUAAUGUUUGAUGUUCUAACGUGGACCCGUAAUCCGGGUUGCGGACAGUGUCUGGUGGGUAGUUUGACUGGGGCGGUCUCCUCCUAAAGAGUAACGGAGGAGCACGAAGGUUGGCUAAUCCUGGUCGGACAUCAGGAGGUUAGUGCAAUGGCAUAAGCCAGCUUGACUGCGAGCGUGACGGCGCGAGCAGGUGCGAAAGCAGGUCAUAGUGAUCCGGUGGUUCUGAAUGGAAGGGCCAUCGCUCAACGGAUAAAAGGUACUCCGGGGAUAACAGGCUGAUACCGCCCAAGAGUUCAUAUCGACGGCGGUGUUUGGCACCUCGAUGUCGGCUCAUCACAUCCUGGGGCUGAAGUAGGUCCCAAGGGUAUGGCUGUUCGCCAUUUAAAGUGGUACGCGAGCUGGGUUUAGAACGUCGUGAGACAGUUCGGUCCCUAUCUGCCGUGGGCGCUGGAGAACUGAGGGGGGCUGCUCCUAGUACGAGAGGACCGGAGUGGACGCAUCACUGGUGUUCGGGUUGUCAUGCCAAUGGCACUGCCCGGUAGCUAAAUGCGGAAGAGAUAAGUGCUGAAAGCAUCUAAGCACGAAACUUGCCCCGAGAUGAGUUCUCCCUGAC